Molecule: long non-coding RNA, 1084 nt
Filed under: Gallus gallus (chicken)
Lineage: Eukaryota; Metazoa; Chordata; Aves; Galliformes; Phasianidae
Source: RNAcentral
AAGCCGCUGAACCACAAGAUCCUUAACCUUCUCUGAUGUUAUAGGUUUGUUGUGGCAAUCAAUAGCUCCUUCAGCUACAAUAAUAAUAUUCAGCCUUUUCUUUCGUGCACGGUUCUCUGAAAGCUUAACACACAUUGAAUCCUCCCAUCCUUCUUCUGGUGGGUAUUCAGGAAUAAAUACCCAAUCUGCACCACAAGCUAAGGCACUGACAAGAGCUAAAUACCCACAGUGUCUCCCCAUAACCUCCAGAACAAAUGUCCUCUGAUGGCUUUGUGCAGUGGUCAUGAUGGCAUCCACAACUUCAAUGAUUCUGUGCAAGGCUGAGUCAGUACCUAUGGUCAUAUCAGUGCCACAGAAGUCAUUGUCUAUGGAUCCAACCAUUCCCACAAUGUUAAGGUAAGCAUAUUUCUUAACAGCUUCUUCAUCAAUCUUUCCUUUCUGCGCUAGUUCUUCUAGAAGUCCACUCCAUUCUUCACGGAACAGAUUGGCACCAGUUAAGCUACCAUCUCCACCAAUCACACAAAGAUUAGUGAUUCCCCUCCGAACCAAGUUGUAGGCUGCCUGCAGGCGACCCUCCCGGGUACGAAAAGAUUUGCAGCGUGCACUACCAAUGACCGUACCUCCCACUUGCAGGAUACUGGAUACACUUUCCCAAGAAACUUCAACAAUAUUAUCACCGCCAUCAACCAUUCCUUGGUAACCCUCAUAAACGAAAUAGACUUUGGCUUUCACAUAUAUUCCCAUGCGUACUACUGCACGCACAGCAGCAUUCAUACCUUGGGCAUCGCCGCCGCUGGUCAGCACCCCGAUGGCUUUCCCGGUGCCGGAGAGGUUCUCGAAGAACUUGGGCUGGUGAUCCAUGGCUGCGGGGGAAGCGGGGGGCGCGGAGCGAGGUGGUGCGGGAGCCCCUGCGGCUCGGCCCUGCUGCCCGGGAGCACGAAAGCGGCUCUGUCAAGUAUUUGGCCUCCCGCCACCACCGCCGUUUCCUCCGACCGCUCCUGCUGACAGCCCUCUCGGCUCCGCCCUCCAACGCCCCUCCGCGAGCGGCGGUUGACGGUCGUCUCGAGCAGCCAAUAGGAGGGCG